GCUGGCUAGCUCCGACCCCCUAUAUAGUGGUUUUUAACACUACAGGGUCAGGAAUACAUUUUUGUGUCCCUUUAAACAUAAUGCAGCUGAAGCACUAAUCACGGAGCUGUCUUACCAACUAAACAUUAAGGGAGCACUAUAGGGUCAGGAACACAAACAUGUAUUCCUGACCCUAUGGUGUUAAAACCACUAUCUAGACCCCUUGGC
This is a non-coding RNA of Pelobates cultripes (western spadefoot toad), 207 nucleotides long. The record is from the annotation of a GenBank genome assembly. NCBI's taxonomy places the organism in Eukaryota, Metazoa, Chordata, Amphibia, Anura, Pelobatidae.